RNAcentral lists this ribosomal RNA (376 nucleotides) under uncultured bacterium. RNAcentral's name for it is "bacterial SSU rRNA". It matches the Rfam family "Bacterial small subunit ribosomal RNA", at positions 524 to 898 of the family's 1533-position model. The record is from RNAcentral.
GACGUAGGAUGCGAGCGUUGUUCGGAUUUAUUGGGCGUAAAGCGUACGUAGGCGGCUUUUUAAGUCUGGUGUUAAAGCUAGGGGCUCAACCCCUGUGAUGCACUGGAAACUGGGAAGCUUGAGUGUGGUAGGGGAAGGUGGAAUUCCGAGUGUAGCGGUGAAAUGCGUAGAUAUUCGGAAGAACACCGGUGGCGAAAGCGACCUUCUGGGCCAUUACUGACGCUGAGGUACGAAAGCUUGGGGAGCGAACGGGAUUAGAUACCCCGGUAGUCCAAGCGGUAAACGAUGAUCACUAGGUGUAGCGGGUAUCAACCCCUGCUGUGCCGUAGCUAACGCGUUAAGUGAUCCGCCUGGGGAGUACGGCCGCAAGGCUGAA